Glycine soja is the source of this 2629-nucleotide long non-coding RNA. RefSeq lists it as uncharacterized. The transcript has 3 exons. The record is from RefSeq and is a predicted model, not a curated record. NCBI's taxonomy places the organism in Eukaryota, Viridiplantae, Streptophyta, Magnoliopsida, Fabales, Fabaceae.
CCAUGUCACUUUACCACAACCUUCAACCUUAUUAUAACUACCCAAUAUGUGCUUCCGGAAAUAUCGAGGUUGUAUUUGUUGCAUGGGGGAGAAUAUAACUCAACAUUUCGAUCCGGGAAAGAUAGAUUACAUACACACACUUAAAUGUUUCUGGUUAGAUCUCCUGAACCUUAAGAACAAUCCAUACCAAAACGUUAACAUGUUCGCUUUUUUUCCUUACACUUCUAUUGUCAAGGCCUGCAAGUAUUAAUGUUAAUAUUUAAAGCCUUUUUAAGUUUUUUUUUUGAAUAAAUUUUAACCAUGGAGUUCCUCUAUCUCCAUAAUGCAUGCAAGUUGCCCAAGGCAUCUGCACUACCGGCCCAGUUGCCAGCAAUAUACCAAGUAGCUCUCCCCACCCUUGUGUGAGUAGGCCGGGAGAACAGUUAAAAGUCUACUGGUAGGCAGCAGAAGAUCUUGAACAAAAAGGUCCCACGAUCGAAUGUCUCAUGUUUUUCAUUUUUCUUGGCAAUAAUUAAGUGAAUAAUUAUUUAACUUUUUUUUAUCGGCAAUAAAACUUUUUUUUUAGUAUUUAAUAUACCUGGAUGUCCGUUCCAUAUGUUUGUUAAUUAAUUCUUCUUGAGUUCUAUUCUGAGAUUAAGGGUUAUGACUCAUGACAUGUCUCAAGGUUCACUGAGUAUUAUAUUUAGGAUAUUUAAAAAUCACUCACCAACUUGUUAAUGAAACUCACAUCCCGUGAAAUAUGAAUUAAAUUCUUAAUUAUUAGAUCCACCUUUGUUUGUUGGAUGAUAAAUAUAUUAUAAUUUUUAAGAAAAAUAGAAAUAAACUAUUUUAUAACUUUUUCUAGGAUAAUGAAUUAGUCGAGAAUGAAAGAAUUUCCUAUGCCAAACCUCACUUAAGUAAAAAAAAAUUAAAAGAUUGUUAAUUGUUACAUGUAAUAUGAAAAAUAGUUGACAUUUUUCAUUUAUGCAUGUGAUGAUCUAUCAUGGAAAUGUCCUAGAUCUAGUGAUAAAAAUGGUUAAGGGACACCCAUUUGCUUGUAGAGAGAAAGAAGGUAUAUAUAACAAGAAUGUGAUGUAAUAAGAAAAGAGAUAAAAGAAAAAUGAAGGAUGUGAAUUAAGUAUAUCAAUUGUGGGGUGUUCAUAUAUCUUACUCUUUGUAAUAAUGUUAGAAGCUCUGAUUAACGAAAAUAUGGGCAUAAUAUAUGAAAACCGAUCUAGAUUACUUCAGUUGCAAAAAGAAAGAGUGCACGAAAUACCAAAAUGUGAAAUGCGCGGUCACAACUUGUAGUGAUUCAAUGCAGUUUCAUGUUAUCAAAAUUAGAAGCGGCAUUGAUCGAGUUCGUGUUCUUCUGAUCUCAUGGAUUCGUGAGACUCUGCAUUAUGGGCAUCUUUCAAGCAUAGACUCUAUUUGAAAAAACUCAAGUCUCACAUUAGUCAGAUAUAAUGCUAAAGUAUACAAGUUUGGACAACUCUUAUCCUAUGAACUAAUUUUUUAGGUUGAGUUAGACUUAAAUUUACAUUCUAAGAAAUUCAACUGCAGAUGUGAUUGGCACGAGUUAGUGGAGAGAUGGAACCUUAGCAUGUCCAGUAUGGAGAUGGGAACACAAUUGCUUCAGCAAUCACUGCAUUUUCACACGAUGAUAUGUGCAAUGAGUCAUAGUUUUACUUUUCUCUACUCAUCAGUCACCAAGGGUUCAGCUCUGCCAUGGAUUUCCGAUGGCAUGAUCCAGGAUACAUCCAUUUAGCAUUUAUGACAGGACUUAAGCCUUCAAGCACUUUCUCUUACAGAUACGGAAGGUGGAGAGCUGAGCCUGAGAAGAUUUCAGUUUGGUUAUUUAAGAGAACAUGCUAAUGCUACUAGGGGAGAUUAAAUUUAAGAGGUUAGUGUUUACAUGCUUAUAUUUCUAUCUCAAUCGCCACCAUAGUAAGAGGAAAUGAGCAGGGUUAAGUUUAUAUAAUGUUUUACCGUUGAGUCUGUUUCUAUAUUGUUGUCUAUUCAUGAGGGAUUUCUUAGUGGAUCUUUUCUGCGCACUAUUUUUUCUUCAUAAAAAUUCCCUCAGAAGGAUUGGAAAGAAAAAAAAAAAAAAAAAGGAGAAACAGACUUCUCAUUUAAACAUGAAACGAGAAAGAGCAACGAAAUACAACACAAGGCCAAGUCUAAAUUACCUCUGCGAAAAGCAAAGGAUAGUCUCCAAAACAAUUUGUUGCAACAAUAUUAGGUAGCUUAUUAUUUAUCUAUAAAAAAAUAGCUUAAUUAUUUACAUAUUAAGUUCAGUCAAACUGUGACAUCAAUUGCAUCUUGGCGUCUUAGACACUGAUAAAUACCUGUUAUGUUGGCAUCAACCUAUUUCCAUAUACAAAGAUCAACGAUUUUCCCUUUCCUAGCAAAUUUAUCAUUUGCCUAGAAGAAUGAGCAUUUAUGGACAAAAUAAAUGUUGGACUAAUUAGAUGCGUGUUUGGUUAGAUACUACGAUGAAUUUAUCUCAUGGAGUCAUGGUAGAACUCGCUCCAAUAUAUAAGAUCUAUAAUUGUGUGGAUCAUCACUCUCCAAUUGCUUUUUCUCUCCUCUACUAGUGUUGUCACAAAAUAUAAAAUAUUGUUUAAGAGUGUAUAGUAAAUGGCAUUUGAUG